CAGUCCCACGGGAAUACGAGGGGGGCAAGCGUUGUUCGGAAUUAUUGGGCGUAAAGGGCGCGUAGGCGGUUUGGCAAGUUUGGUGUGAAAUCUUCGGGCUCAACUCGAAGUCUGCACCGAAAACUGCCGGGCUUGAGUAUGGGAGAGGUGAGUGGAAUUUCCGGUGUAGCGGUGAAAUGCGUAGAGAUGUGGAGGAACACCAGUGGCGAAGGCGACUCUCUGGUCUGUAACUGACGCUGAGGAGCGAAAGCGUGGGGAGCGAACAGGAUUAGAUACCCCAGUAGUCCCUGUCUCUUAUACC
RNAcentral lists this ribosomal RNA (301 nucleotides) under uncultured bacterium. RNAcentral's name for it is "partial 16S ribosomal RNA". It matches the Rfam family "Bacterial small subunit ribosomal RNA", at positions 509 to 808 of the family's 1533-position model. The record is from RNAcentral.